RNAcentral lists this long non-coding RNA (1233 nucleotides) under Vulpes vulpes (red fox). RNAcentral describes it as "lncRNA (ENSVVUG00000008455.1)". Lineage: Eukaryota; Metazoa; Chordata; Mammalia; Carnivora; Canidae. The record is from RNAcentral.
AUGUGCGUACAGCCCGUACCGAUGAGUACAUGGAUGUUCAUACCCUACUCUAGUCCCUACGUAUCUGGCCUAAUUGGGGAGAGUGACACAAACCUCUUCCAGAUAAAGCCCAGCCCUCUGCGUCCCUCCCUGGGGACGACCCGCACGCUGACCUCAGGAUGCAGCGUCACCAACAUGCCUCUGUGCUUGACUGCAUGUGCUGGCCGCUGCGACAGACACUUGGGGAGCACGUUUGUAGACACACGCCUUGGGAGAAUAGCAUCCCGCCACAGCACCUUUCUGCGACCUUGCCAUUUCCCUCACUAUUCCGCCUCAAGACAUCACUGUCCUAAACCAAAGGGUCCUGUUCUCACGGGUCUGCAGUUAGAAGCCCCUAUUAUUGUUUCUCCAUCUGUAAAAACAGAAUGGCCAGACUCCCCAGUUGACAGACAAGGUCACCAAGAGGAUGUGACUUCCGGGUGACCCCAUGAGGGAGUCCUCACCCCCUCCCCAUUCUUGGAAUAUGUGCAUCGCCCACCAUUGCCACAGUGGGAGCUGUUGAGGCUGCAGUGGGAACUGUUGCAAGGCCACAGUCUUGAGAAAGUAAAGUGUUGCCGUGGCCAUCUGGACUGAAUGCAUGACUGAGCCCAGUUACAGCCUUUAUACAAACUUUUGAGAUUCUGAUGGUGGGUGCGGAGAUCUACUUGUCUUGCAGCCGCCCAGACAACCUCCUGUGUGAGUUCCCUGGCUUAUCAUCCUUGCCAGCAACCAAUCUGGACCAGCUGCCUCCUUCUUCUGUGUCUCCCUGCUGUCCUUGCACCCCCCCCUCCCAGGUGCGGGGGCCAGUGUGUGAAUCAACACCAGUUGAGCUCACAGUUCUAAUCAGUGACUUGGCACAAAAGUAGACAUUGCUUGAAUACAGUAUAAUGUAUGGGUGGGUAAUGCAAGACACAAGCUGCCCUAGAAAAAAAGCCCCACGAAACGGAGAGCUCAUUGGCACACUUCCAGUUGAUGAAAGUCCAGUGUUUCCACAUGGGAAAUAGGCAUGGAAGAGAGGUGACUUCCUUUUCCACAUGCCUCCUGCAUCAGAUCUGUGUGUGCCCAUUAUGGUGGACUUCAGGGAUGUGAGAAACGCUCUCCACCAUUCCUAACGGGAGGCUUUUAGUGCUCUUUCUAGUUUUGCUUUCCUUGGACUUUUCAUGAGUAUUGAUGUUGGAAGACGGAAUAAAACCAGACACAGCUAGUUAGCUUCCA